Molecule: ribosomal RNA, 336 nt
Filed under: uncultured bacterium
Lineage: Bacteria
Description: bacterial SSU rRNA
Rfam family: Bacterial small subunit ribosomal RNA
Source: RNAcentral
UCCUACGGGAGGCAGCAGUGGGGAAUAUUGCACAAUGGGCGAAAGCCUGAUGCAGCGACGCCGCGUGAGGAAGAAGUAUUUCGGUAUGUAAACUCUAUCAGCAGGGAAGAAAAUGACGGUACCUGACUAAGAAGCCCCGGCUAACUACGUGCCAGCAGCCGCGGUAAUACGUAGGGGGCAAGCGUUAUCCGGAUUUACUGGGUGUAAAGGGAGCGUAGACGGUUAAGCAAGUCUGAAGUGAAAGCCCGGGGCUCAACCCGGUACUGCUUUGGAAACUGUUUGACUUGAGUGCAGGAGAGGUAAGUGGAAUUCCUAGUGUAGCGGUGAAAUGCGUAG